This is a long non-coding RNA of Malaclemys terrapin pileata, 2028 nucleotides long. RefSeq lists it as uncharacterized. The record is from RefSeq and is a predicted model, not a curated record. Lineage: Eukaryota; Metazoa; Chordata; Testudines; Emydidae. The transcript has 2 exons.
UUGAUCUGAGAAGAUUUUCACUAUUUGAUAUGUCACAAGAAUGACAAGAUUCUAGCACUGUUGAACACAAACAUAAACCCUAGUGCUGAUUGGGCAGCAAACCCAAAUUCUUGUAUUGUAGCUGUUGUCAAACGCCACCGGUGUGAUGCUCUGCUCUGUCCAAUGUUGGUAACCGUCGGCUGCGUGCGUGUGUUCCCUCUGUGUGCUGCCCCGGCUCUGCGCAGAUCGCUGACACAGCAGACCCCAAGAGAACCCCCAAUGACCACAGACUCUGAUAAGGCACGAAGGCACCCGGCCAGGUUUAUUGUCAAACGAAACACAGUCUCUAGCUCCCCGGAUCAGAUGUCUACAGUUCUGCUAGUACAUAUAUGCUCCCUGACAAUGGACUGGCUCAGUCAGUGACGGGACACUCCACUGCCCCCUAUGCUGGACAAAGACACCGCCCCAGGGAUGCAUUCUUAUACACAGGUACAAACAAGUUACACAUCAUUCCUGACGUAUUGAGGUACAACCCCUCUACGCAGUAAGGUGCCGCCUCUCACCUUGUACAUGUUGGUUAGAACCAAACAACUCCAUCCAUCAUAGUACUCUUUUGCCCCUGUCUUUAGGAUGGGUUCGCCUGUUCUUUGUUAUCUGUGUGUAAUGUGCAAGUAUCAGAGUGUUCUGGUAUCAUCCUGGCAUAUGUUUGUAUCUUUAGUGUCCAGUACCUUUUAGGUAUAUGUAUUUUUGAAACAUCAGCCCUUUUGUUGCCAGCUUCUGUGAGCAGGGCCUGCUUCCGGCUCACAGCUUAACUUUACUUUAUGUUAGCAAAGUCUUGACCAUUACUUUAGUUCAGGCCUUAGGCCUCAUACCAGGCCUCUGAUAAGGGUUUAUGUUUCAGGGCCUCAUCUUACUACAGUAGCUUAGUGUCUAAUUUGUUAUCCCUUCUCUCCACUACAUUUCUUUGUGGAUUACAGUAGAUUUUGUAGAUGUAAAUUCUUCGGGGCUGUGUCUUCUUGGAUGUUUGAACCGUGUCAAGCAUUACAGGACUCUAAUAGUGACUGGAGCCUCUAGAUGCUACAUAGGGUUACCAUCCGUCUGUAUUUCCCCGGACACGUCCGGCUUUUGCGUCUCUAAAUAGCCGUCCGGGAGGAAUUGGUAACAAGGUUAAAAUGUCCGGGGUUUUUUUCUCCCUCGCCUCCCUCCCUCCCUUCCAUGCAGAGCGUGGCUGCUGAUUGGACGGCUAGGCCGAUUGACCCACUCCUAUUGGCCUCCAGCAGCCAGAGCCCUCCCCUGCUCCCCCCUCCCUCUGUCUGUAGUCCUGUGUAACACACAAACCGACCCACGUGGAGCCAGAAUGCGGCGGCUUGGCCUGAGAGCGAUGAGCCUGCUGCAGCACUGGCUUACAGAGAGAGGUCUUCUAGCUCAAGCAGUAGAGGCUUAUGCAAAGAACCGGAAGUGCCCAGGUUUGAGCCCUUCUGCUGACGGCCCAGCUGGGACCAGGUCAUUACACAGGCUAAGUAUAACAGACUCCCCACUCUGAAGUGACCAGAGCGCCCUUUGAUUCCUUGGGGGGUUAAAAUGACAGCGAGCACCCUUGGCUCAACGCAGAAGGAUACAGCUGAGUCUUAUGAGUCCAAAGCAGUCCAAGUUCAGACUUUGUCACUGCCAUGUGUGUCCUAGUGCAGGUCUUCUCAGCCCAAGAUCCAGGCAGAGUGCUCUCCUGCCUGGGAUUUCAAACUGACGUGCAGUUUGGGGGAAUUAAAGCGCAAUCACUAUUCUUAACAACCUGGCAUUAUAGAGACCAUGAAACUGUUCAAUGCAUUGAUAUUUGUCUUCACAUGAAAUUGUACAGCUCUAGCUGUUUAUACAGAUACAUUUAAUAAAUGGGCAAUUGCAGAUCUUUGCUACGUUAAAUUUCUCCAAUUUCUCUGAUUGGGGACAGGCAGGUGAUCUGGUGUUUUUCUGACCACAGCGAACUCUCUGUUAACCACAUUCUCCUGUAUUUCAGGCUGAAUAAACAUGUUGUUUUAGAUGCAUUCACAUUAA